RNAcentral lists this ribosomal RNA (383 nucleotides) under uncultured eukaryote. RNAcentral's name for it is "partial 18S ribosomal RNA". It matches the Rfam family "Eukaryotic small subunit ribosomal RNA", at positions 592 to 976 of the family's 1831-position model. The record is from RNAcentral.
CAAUAGCGUAUAUUAAAGUUGUUGCAGUUAAAAAGCUCGUAGUUGGAUUUCUGGUAGGAGUGACCGUUCCGAACUCGAUUGUUCGUGUAUUGUGUUUUCUCCAGCCAUCCUUGUGGAGAACUUUUCUUGCAUUAAUUUGUAGGGAUUGGGACCCGCAUCGUUUACUGUGAAAAAAUUAGAGUGUUUAAAGCAGGCAAUCGCUUGAAUACAUUAGCAUGGAAUAAUAAGAUAGGACUUUGGUACUAUUUUGUUGGUUUGCAUACCAAAUUAAUGAUCAACAGGAACAGUCUGAGGAUAUUCGUAUGAACAUGUCAGAGGUGAAAUUCUUGGAUUUUGAUCAGACGAACUACUGCGAAAGCAUUUAUCAAGGAUGUUUUCAUUAA